Molecule: long non-coding RNA, 4967 nt
Filed under: Macaca mulatta (Rhesus monkey)
Lineage: Eukaryota; Metazoa; Chordata; Mammalia; Primates; Cercopithecidae
Description: lncRNA (ENSMMUG00000057906.1)
Source: RNAcentral
GUAAAGAAGACCGAUACCUGUGGCAUGGAGGGCGUGAGGCUGGUGUGAGUGCCAAGCACUUGGAGCAGGGCCCUGAGUGAGCAUGGACGUGGGAGCAGGGGUGUUCCUAGACUUCAUGCACCUUGGGGAUGGGAGUGGAGCUCCCUGUGUGGGUUGAUAAGGCAUUGCUUUCCCCCACCCCACCUCUGCCCCAGCCCUGCAAGUCCAGUCCUUGGGGGUCUAGGAGGGAAGAAGCCCCUGGCUGUGAGUCCUCGAGAUGGACCCUGGCCCUCUCUGGCUCUGAGUUCCUGGGAAAGUCGGUGGUGUUGGAACUCCGGAUUCAUUCCUCAGCGUUGAGGCACUGUCUGUGGAAACCGUGGGACAAGGUGAAGGGUGUGCAGGUGUGCAGACCCUGACACACACAGUCCCACACAAGAGCCUGAGCUGGCACCGCGCUGAAGAAGGUGGCACCCACUCUGGCGGUCAGUGUGGGUCCAGCCUGGUGGGAGGAUUAUCACAGACUUCAGGGGGCUGGGCAGCCUGGGGGGCCUAAGGGCGGUCAUCUCUUCCAGCCUCCUGCCCUCAACCCCAGAACCCAGGUCUGAGCCCUGGGUCACCCAGGGCCACCCCGGACCCACUGGAAUUCCUCCACCACCACUUGGUCAAAGUUCGGCAGAGGUCUGAGGACGAAGGUCAGCUAGGGAGUCAGGAGAGGAUGGAGAGGGUCACAGCUCUACCAAAGCCUUGUCCAGUCAUCGCCCGUCUUCCCGAGGCCUCUUCCCCGAUCACCCCACUUCACCCAUCCGGUCAGCUCCCCUGAAGUGCCCAGAAGUCAGGGCUGGUUUUGUCCUCCAAGGCCUUGGUGUAGGGCUGGCCCAGGAUCUGCAGCCAAACUUCAUACAGCACCAGCUCCGCCUUCUCCCCUAGAGCGAUGGGGGUGGAGGCGGCAUCAGCGUGCUCUCCCUCUCCUGGAAGCCCUGGGGUGGGGCACGCACCCAAGCUCUAAUGCUCCAUCCAGGGGUCAGCCGCCGCUGGUCUAACGGUCAAAUUUCUUGCUGCCUGUUUUUAUGUGGCCCACGAGCAAAGAAUGGCUUUUACGUGUUUAAAUGGUAGAAAACAUGGAAAGUAGAAUCGUAUCUUGUGACACAUGAGAAGUACGUGACAAGCAAACUUCCACGUCCAUAAAGAAAGUUUCCCGGGAAUGUGGCCACACUCAAUUGUUGACAUGUUGUCUAGGGCUGAUUUCUUGCUACAGGGGAGGGUUUGAGUAGGUGGUGACUAAAAGCCAGUGGUCUGCAGAGCCUUAAAGAGUUUCCUUCUGGCCCUGUACGGAAAACGCUUGCUAACCCCUGCACUGAUCCAUCUAAUGGAAUACACUGCUCACUCCGAGAGUUAAUCCUAGUAGGAAAUGUUGCUGGUAAUUUAAUAGGUGCUGCUUUUAUGUUUUAUUUUGUCCAAAUUCACUCCCUGCGAGGAGGUCGUGUUGGGGCUUGUGGCCAUCAAAGGUGAAGCCUCUUUAAGAGGAUGCGUGGGGAGCUCUACCGUCUGCUGAGAGGGUUGUGAUGGGCCCUCUGUGUUGAGGAAUGAAGAGGGAACACUGCCUGUCUGCCGGGAGCUGGCUUUCUGGGGAGCAGAAGAGAUGGUGGUUCGGACCCGUGGAGGUGGAGGCCCAAACCAAUCUGGUCUCUGGGGCGGCCGGCAGGGAGAGUAGUUGUGUAGGAGUGGGUGUGAGGGCAGAGCCUGAAGGAGGGUACCCCUGACUGCACCCCCAGGAGGCUGCGGUGGUGGGUGUGGGGCAGCACUGUAGGAGGACCAGCACCUUCUGUGACUGAGGGGUCCUUGUAGAGCAGCUUCAGGCUGUGUGUGGCUGGAGGGGACUGAUUUGCCCUGCGCUCUCCUAACUUGGGUGUGGGCCAGCUCUCCCUGUUUGGAUGGCACGAGCUGGGAGAAGUCAUCCCAUCAGGAGGCCCCCAGAGGAGAUAUGGGUUUCUUACAGCCCCGGUACUGGGACAGAGCUGAGGGUUUUUGCCCCUGACUUGGUGGGACAGAUCUUGGCAUGCAUGUGAGGACUCAGUGAGGUCCUGUGCAAUCAGGGAGGUGACGGGACCCUCUCAUCCCUCUGAUCUUGACUGCUUCUGGCCUCUGUCCAGCUCCUUGCUAAAGCUCUAUGCCCCAUUCCUCUCUAUGGACCCAACAGAUGAGCAAGUAUUGUCUGAAGGAAAUUCUGCCCAUUCUGUAGAAGGGGAACAUUGAGGUUUACAGAGGGGAAGAGCCUGCUGGCCCAGAGACACACAGGGAUCGCAGCCCUACUAAAAAUAUACAAAUUAGCCAGUGUGGUGGCACAUGCUUGUAAUUCCAGCUACUAGGGUGGCUGAGGCAUGAUGAUCACUUGAACCCAAGAGGCAGAGGUUGCAGUGAGCUGUGAUCUCACCACUGCACUCCAGCCUGUGCAACAGAGCAUGACCCUGUCUCAAAAAAAAGUUAAAAACCAUUUGUCCAGUAUAAACUUUUUCAAAAUACGUACUCAAACAUAGAAAAGUCUAGAAAUGUAAUCAAUAUUAAUUUCAGGAAAGAAUUCUAAGAUGACUUGUUUUGGUUAUCUGCAUUUUUUUUCUUUUAUUUUUUGGACAUAGAGUCUUGCUCUGUCACCCAGGCUGGAGUGCAGUGACCCGAUCAGGGAUCACUGCAGCCUUGACCUCACAGGCUUAAGCCAUCCUCCCACCUCAGUCUCCUGAGUAGCUGCUACUACAGGCACAUGCCACCAUACCUGGCUAAUUUUUGGAUUAUUGUAUUUUUUGCAAAGAUGGGGUUUUGCUAUGUUGCUCAAGCUGGUCUUAAGUGAUCCGCCCACCUCGGCCUCCCAGAGUGCUGGGAUUACAAGUGUGAACCAUGUGUGCCAGGCCUGUUUUCUUUUCUGUAAUGACCAUGACCAUAGAUUUCAUGCACCAACAUUUUUCUAACAAUAGUAUUUACAAAGUGUACUAUGAUAAAUGUUCAGAGAAAAAUAAUACAAAAUUGUAAAAAUCAUACAUAACUAGUUUUUUUGUUUUUGUUUUUUAAAAAAGGAAGAAACAAACAAAGUAUAUUGUCCAGGAAGAUAGUUACUUACCACUUUGUAUUUCUCUGGUGAACUCAUUGGGAACUCUAAAAAGUUCCAGGAGUAGAAUCAUGGGGUCAGAGUACCCUGGCUUUAACUUCUGGUUCAGAGAAUCCUAACAACUUACAUUGUCACCAGCAAGGUGUUUGACUACCUGAGCCACUCUCACCUUAAAUCAAUUCUCAUCUGACAUUAGCUGCUCAGCUUUCUGCUGAUACGUUGACUCCAGGAGGCUCCUUGAGUUCUGUGUGUUUGGCUGGCCUCUGGUGGCCCCAUUAUUAUUUUCUGCCAGGUAAAGGUCAGUCACCUGCUCACAGACCUCAUCACUCAUGAUAUGCUGCAGCUGGAAUCAAACAAAGGCAAGCUGUUAGUGAACACAGAAAACAUUUCUCCGUUAUACAGUUCAAUGCUCCUUUGAUCCAGUCAUUCAACUCAAAAAAGGCUUUGGUUUCCUUUGGCUAGCAAUUUUAGAAAAUUAAUCAUACAAACUACUGUAUCAUUUUCUUGGAGAAUAAUCAAGCCAAGAUUUUCAACCAUAUCAGUGGUCCAUUGUAAAAUUUUCAUAUCUAUUUAAAAUCAAAACCAUAGAAAAUUCAGGUUAAUAUACUUUUAUUGUUGUUGUUUUGUUGCACCCAGGCUGGAGUGCAGUGCGUGAUGGCUUACCACAACCUUUGACUCCUUGGUCCAAGUGAUUCUCCUGCUUCAGCCUCCUGAGUAGCUGGAAUUACAGGCACGCACCACCAUGCCCAGCUAAUUUUUGUGUUUUUAGUAGAGACAGGGUUUCACCAUGCUGGCCAGGAUGGUCUCGAUCUCCUGACCUCAUGAUCUGCCCGUCUUUACCUCCCAAAGUGCUGGAAUUAUAGGUGUGAGCCACAGUGCCCAGCCUAAUGUACUGUUUAUUUAAAAUUCUAAGGAUCUUUAAAUACUUUUCCAUGGAUCAUAUUUUUAUUGCAUUUUAAAAUCAUUUUCAAUUUGCUUUCACACAUAUUCUCCCUCAUCUGAUCCUCACAACUGCCCUGGGAAGCAGGUUGGGGAGAGAGUUGGGGCCGGUUAGGAGACAAAUUUACCCAAUGCAUAAGAAAGCUCACUGUGAGCCGGGUGAGGAAGGGAGCCUUGGAGAAUCAUGAAUGCAGUAUCUAUGUCUAUAUUCCCAGCCCAACUACAAUGCCUGAAAUUAAUUAGGUAUUUAAGAAAUAGCUGCUGAAUUAUUACCUACGAGCGCUCAGCUGAAGAAGCAGGAUUGGGACUAACAGUCAAGCUUCCUGACUCCUAGCCGAAUACCUUUCCAAACACACCACCUAUUUUUCUAUAUCUGAUAAAAAGUACAGUGCUUAAGAUGUACAUAAUGUGAACUCACUUUCAAUACAGGCCACUCAUGAUUCACUAUCAGUAGCUUUUGUGACAAACUUAGUAAACUAGAAAGUUGAACCUUUCAGAGUUCCCAUUCUCAUGUCAUAUGCUGUUUCUGUUUUGAAAUAAAAAUCCUUCCAAAUGAAACUGUAUCCAUCAAAAUGACAGAGAAGUGGAAAUAGACACAAGAAGAAAGUAAAACAGUAAUUUCAACAUCAAUUUGUCUAUUUUGCUUUAAUAGUAUAACCUCCAAGCCAUUCUAUUUUCAGGAAGAUACAUUCUUUUUGAAGUGUUAGAAACCAUGAUAACUAUUCUUAACUUUAAGUCCUAAAUGACCAGUGUGUGUAUUAGUAGAUAACUGGACACAGCAAGGUCAGAAGGGUGACUGAGUGUGGCAGAAAGGGCAGUAUCUCCAGCAACUGCAGAUGGCUAAAUGACAAUGAGUCCAGAUAAUGGAUUCUGAUACAACCAUUCAAAUAAUGCUUAUGAGUACUUGAUAACAUAGGGAAAAGCUUAAGAUACAAUGUUUUAGAGAGAAAAA